This 253-nucleotide ribosomal RNA is filed under the name uncultured bacterium. RNAcentral's name for it is "partial 16S ribosomal RNA". It matches the Rfam family "Bacterial small subunit ribosomal RNA", at positions 524 to 776 of the family's 1533-position model. The record is from RNAcentral.
UACGUAGGGGGCUAGCGUUGUCCGGAAUCAUUGGGCGUAAAGAGCGUGUAGGCGGUCCGGUAAGUCCGCUGUGAAAGUCGGGGGCUCAACCCUCGAAUGCCGGUGGAUACUGUCGGGCUAGAGUGCGGAAGAGGCGAGUGGAAUUCCUGGUGUAGCGGUGAAAUGCGCAGAUAUCAGGAGGAACACCUAUUGUGAAGGCAGCUCGCUGGGACGUAACUGACGCUGAGACGCGAAAGCGUGGGGAGCAAACAGG